AUAAAAUAACUCUUAAUUGGUCGAAUUGAUAUAGCAGAUCUAAUUUAGUUAUAAAAAUUAAUUCUUACAAAAUUAUAACAAAUAGACCUACCUUGUAGCUCAGGUGGUCAUUAGACCAAAAUUCCUUACUAGAAAUUCUUAGUCAGAUCUGCCACAUGGCACACGUAAAUACACUCAAGUGGUCAUUGGACCAAAAUUCUAUAUUACAUGUUCUUAGUCAAAUCUGCCACAUGGCACACAUAAGCACCACAUAAGCAAGUCAAUGUAUAUGUGGUGCCUCGGUUCAAAGUUCAAAUUUUUUAAUAAAAAAAAAUUCAAUUUGCGUUGACCAAGAGAAAAGAGCUCAAUACCCUUUUGCCUUGCAUUUUACCCAUUUUAAAUAUGAUAACAAACCAUUACCAAAAAAAAUUGAGAUAAAUAUGGUUUUGAAACCCUAGAUAUCAGAUCUAUUCUAUGAGACUUUUAUAUGAUAGAUCUAUUUUACAGACAACUAGAUUCAAAGUUUAAACAAGAUGAAGAAUAUGACUCGUUAGAUUAGAAAAUUAGGGUUUUUUCGUUCCCUUUUUUGUUUAAAAAAAUAGAUGGGAAUAAAUCAACACCAAACAACAUAAAGAUGUUUAGAAAAUAGAUUUUGAGAGCUAAAGCUAACCAUAAUCGUUUGAAACAUUCAAGAGACUAAAAUCUACAAAAUAAAUAGUUUCUCAAACAAACAAAAAUAAAAAAAUGAACAACUAAUCGGUAGAAAUAUGAAUUAGAGGGUGUAGAAUCGAUUGGUCGGUAUAGAUUUUUCAAAAUCGAACUACAGAUCAAGGAUUUUUACAGAGAAUAACUUAGGGUUUGAGAGAAUUUGGAGAGAGAGAUUGAUAGAUCGACAGAAGAGAG
Molecule: long non-coding RNA, 882 nt
Filed under: Panax ginseng (ginseng)
Lineage: Eukaryota; Viridiplantae; Streptophyta; Magnoliopsida; Apiales; Araliaceae
Description: long non-coding RNA (PGIN_LNC018824)
Source: RNAcentral